AUUGAGCGCUGGCGGCAGGCCUAACACAUGCAAGUCGAGCGGAUGAGGGGAGCUUGCUCCUGGAUUCAGCGGCGGACGGGUGAGUAAUGCCUAGGAAUCUGCCUGGUAGUGGGGGAUAACGUCCGGAAACGGGCGCUAAUACCGCAUACGUCCUGAGGGAGAAAGUGGGGGAUCUUCGGACCUCACGCUAUCAGAUGAGCCUAGGUCGGAUUAGCUAGUUGGUGGGGUAAAGGCCUACCAAGGCGACGAUCCGUAACUGGUCUGAGAGGAUGAUCAGUCACACUGGAACUGAGACACGGUCCAGACUCCUACGGGAGGCAGCAGUGGGGAAUAUUGGACAAUGGGCGAAAGCCUGAUCCAGCCAUGCCGCGUGUGUGAAGAAGGUCUUCGGAUUGUAAAGCACUUUAAGUUGGGAGGAAGGGCAGUAAGUUAAUACCUUGCUGUUUUGACGUUACCAACAGAAUAAGCACCGGCUAACUUCGUG
This 484-nucleotide ribosomal RNA is filed under the name uncultured bacterium. RNAcentral's name for it is "partial 16S ribosomal RNA". It matches the Rfam family "Bacterial small subunit ribosomal RNA", at positions 30 to 507 of the family's 1533-position model. The record is from RNAcentral.